GAUGAACGCUAGCUACAGGCCUAACACAUGCAAGUCGAGGGGAAACGACAUCGAAAGCUUGCUUUUGAUGGGCGUCGACCGGCGCACGGGUGAGUAACGCGUAUCCAACCUGCCCACCACUUGGGGAUAACCUUGCGAAAGUAAGACUAAUACCCAAUGAUAUCCCACGAAGACAUCUGAAUGGGAUUAGAGAUUUAUCGGUGAUGGAUGGGGAUGCGUCUGAUUAGCUUGUUGGCGGGGUAACGGCCCACCAAGGCAACGAUCAGUAGGGGUUCUGAGAGGAAGGUCCCCCACAUUGGAACUGAGACACGGUCCAAACACCUACGGGAGGCAGCAGUGAGGAAUAUUGGUCAAUGGGCGAGAGCCUGAACCAGCCAAGUAGCGUGCAGGAAGACGGCCCUAUGGGUUGUAAACUGCUUUUAUAAGGGAAUAAAGUGGGUCACGUGUGACUUUUUGCAUGUACCUUAUGAAUAAGGACCGGCUAAUUCCGUG
Molecule: ribosomal RNA, 492 nt
Filed under: uncultured bacterium
Lineage: Bacteria
Description: partial 16S ribosomal RNA
Rfam family: Bacterial small subunit ribosomal RNA
Source: RNAcentral